AUGAACCCCUGCUGAUGGAGAG
RNAcentral lists this non-coding RNA (22 nucleotides) under Rattus norvegicus (Norway rat). The record is from RNAcentral. Lineage: Eukaryota; Metazoa; Chordata; Mammalia; Rodentia; Muridae.